Molecule: small nucleolar RNA, 133 nt
Filed under: Panthera tigris altaica (Amur tiger)
Lineage: Eukaryota; Metazoa; Chordata; Mammalia; Carnivora; Felidae
Description: Small nucleolar RNA SNORA4 (ENSPTIG00000000672.1)
Source: RNAcentral
CUGCCAAAAGUUGGUUUUGAGGGGAAGAUUUUUAGCAGUCUUUGUCAGCUCAAGCUAUGUGGGGAAAUAAAGCCCACACUCCACAGUGAGCUGUAUGAUUUCUAUGCAGUUCUACUGUUUGGUGGCCUGGAAG